AGCUCCUUGAGCGAGAAAAGCUCCACACUACCUCCCACAGAGAAGCUGGUGUAGUGGUCCGGGAGGAUCACGAAUGCUGCAGCCCACCCGCCGGUGGGAGUGGCUGGGGGGAUUGCAAAGCCAGGAUUUUGAGGCAUCCCUGCCAAAGAAUGGGAGAGGGAGCAGAAUAUCGAGGAGUUCUGCACCCCUCAAGACCCACACAUCCAGAUCGACCCUCAUCUCCCAUGUGUGUGCUCUUGCGUCUUGGGCAGAAACCGGAGAGCUCUCUCCACUGCUGCUCGGGUGAAAUGUGUAUGAUUAAAAAGCCAUACUUAACUCUC
This is a long non-coding RNA of Mastomys coucha (southern multimammate mouse), 320 nucleotides long. RefSeq lists it as uncharacterized. Lineage: Eukaryota; Metazoa; Chordata; Mammalia; Rodentia; Muridae. The transcript has 2 exons. The record is from RefSeq and is a predicted model, not a curated record.